GUUUUUGUAGUUGAGUCACAACGGCAGUUUUUCGGAUUGCAGGCCCGGCGAUGUCGGUAAAAACU
Molecule: transfer RNA, 65 nt
Filed under: Bipes canaliculatus
Lineage: Eukaryota; Metazoa; Chordata; Lepidosauria; Squamata; Bipedidae
Description: tRNA-Glu
Source: RNAcentral